Molecule: ribosomal RNA, 253 nt
Filed under: uncultured bacterium
Lineage: Bacteria
Description: partial 16S ribosomal RNA
Rfam family: Bacterial small subunit ribosomal RNA
Source: RNAcentral
UACGGAGGGUGCAAGCGUUAUCCGGAUUCACUGGGUUUAAAGGGUGCGUAGGUGGGAAUGUAAGUCAGUGGUGAAAUCUCCGUGCUUAACACGGAAACUGCCAUUGAUACUAUGUUUCUUGAAUUAUCUGGAGGUCAGCGGAAUAUGUCAUGUAGCGGUGAAAUGCUUAGAUAUGACAUAGAACACCAAUUGCGAAGGCAGCUGGCUACAGGUGGAUUGACACUGAGGCACGAAAGCGUGGGGAGCAAACAGG